RNAcentral lists this non-coding RNA (945 nucleotides) under Streptomyces sp. NRRL WC-3604. RNAcentral's name for it is "bacterial LSU rRNA". It matches the Rfam family "Bacterial large subunit ribosomal RNA", at positions 695 to 1524 of the family's 2925-position model. Lineage: Bacteria; Bacillati; Actinomycetota; Actinomycetes; Kitasatosporales; Streptomycetaceae. RNAcentral also lists the same sequence under 1 other name. The record is from RNAcentral.
UCUAGUAGCGCGCUCAAGACCCGAAGCGGAGUGAUCUAGCCAUGGGCAGGUUGAAGCGGAGGUAAGACUUCGUGGAGGACCGAACCCACCAGGGUUGAAAACCUGGGGGAUGACCUGUGGUUAGGGGUGAAAGGCCAAUCAAACUCCGUGAUAGCUGGUUCUCCCCGAAAUGCAUUUAGGUGCAGCGUCGUGUGUUUCUUGCCGGAGGUAGAGCACUGGAUAGGCGAUGGGCCCUACCGGGUUACUGACCUUAGCCAAACUCCGAAUGCCGGUAAGUGAGAGCGCGGCAGUGAGACUGUGGGGGAUAAGCUCCAUGGUCGAGAGGGAAACAGCCCAGAGCAUCGACUAAGGCCCCUAAGCGUACGCUAAGUGGGAAAGGAUGUGGAGUCGCAGAGACAACCAGGAGGUUGGCUUAGAAGCAGCCACCCUUGAAAGAGUGCGUAAUAGCUCACUGGUCUAGUGAUUCCGCGCCGACAAUGUAGCGGGGCUCAAGCGUACCGCCGAAGUCGUGUCAUUGCGAUAUAUACCCCCAACGGGGAUCGUGAUGGGUAGGGGAGCGUCGUGUGCCGGGUGAAGCAGCACCGGAAGGUAGUUGUGGACGGUUCACGAGUGAGAAUGCAGGCAUGAGUAGCGAUUCACACGUGAGAAACGUGUGCGCCGAUUGACUAAGGGUUCCUGGGUCAAGCUGAUCUGCCCAGGGUAAGUCGGGACCUAAGGCGAGGCCGACAGGCGUAGUCGAUGGAUAACCGGUUGAUAUUCCGGUACCCGCUGUGAAGCGUCAAACAUCGAAUCCAGUGAUGCUAAGCCCGUGAAGCCGCCGGCUGAGUCUUCGGACGAGGUCGGAGUGGUGGAGCCGGUGACCCGAGCUGGUAGUAGGUGAGUGAUGGGGUGACGCAGGAAGGUAGUCCAUCCCGGGCGGUGGUUGUCCCGGGGUAAGGGUGUAGG